This 341-nucleotide unclassified non-coding RNA is filed under the name soil metagenome. Its description in RNAcentral is "partial contains 5.8S ribosomal RNA, internal transcribed spacer 2, and large subunit ribosomal RNA". The stretch from base 1 to 120 matches the Rfam family "5.8S ribosomal RNA", at positions 35 to 154 of the family's 154-position model. The record is from RNAcentral.
GAUGAAGAACGUAGCGAAAUGCGAUAAGUAGUGUGAAUUGCAGAAUUCAGUCAAUCAUCGAAUCUUUGAACGCACAUUGCGCCCUUUGGUAUUCCAAAGGGCAUGCCUGUUCGAGCGUCAUUUGUACCCUCAAGCUUUGCUUGGUGUUGGGCGUCUUGUCUCUAGCUUUGCUGGAGACUCGCCUUAAAGUAAUUGGCAGCCGGCCUACUGGUUUCGGAGCGCAGCACAAGUCGCACUCUCUAUCAGCAAAGGUCUAGCAUCCAUUAAGCCUUUUUUUCAACUUUUGACCUCGGAUCAGGUAGGGAUACCCGCUGAACUUAAGCAUAUCAAUAAGCGGAGGA